Molecule: ribosomal RNA, 813 nt
Filed under: uncultured bacterium
Lineage: Bacteria
Description: bacterial SSU rRNA
Rfam family: Bacterial small subunit ribosomal RNA
Source: RNAcentral
AUGCAAGUCGAACGAGCGAGAGAGAGCUUGCUUUCUCGAGCGAGUGGCGAACGGGUGAGUAACGCGUGAGGAACCUGCCUCAAAGAGGGGGACAACAGUUGGAAACGACUGCUAAUACCGCAUAAGCCCACGGGUCGGCAUCGACCAGAGGGAAAAGGAGCAAUCCGCUUUGAGAUGGCCUCGCGUCCGAUUAGCUAGUUGGUGAGGUAACGGCCCACCAAGGCGACGAUCGGUAGCCGGACUGAGAGGUUGAACGGCCACAUUGGGACUGAGACACGGCCCAGACUCCUACGGGAGGCAGCAGUGGGGAAUAUUGCACAAUGGGGGAAACCCUGAUGCAGCGACGCCGCGUGGAGGAAGAAGGUCUUCGGAUUGUAAACUCCUGUUGUUGGGGAAGAUAAUGACGGUACCCAACAAGGAAGUGACGGCUAACUACGUGCCAGCAGCCGCGGUAAAACGUAGGUCACAAGCGUUGUCCGGAAUUACUGGGUGUAAAGGGAGCGCAGGCGGGAAGACAAGUUGGAAGUGAAAUCUAUGGGCUCAACCCAUAAACUGCUUUCAAAACUGUUUUUCUUGAGUAGUGCAGAGGUAGGCGGAAUUCCCGGUGUAGCGGUGGAAUGCGUAGAUAUCGGGAGGAACACCAGUGGCGAAGGCGGCCUACUGGGCACCAACUGACGCUGAGGCUCGAAAGUGUGGGUAGCAAACAGGAUUANAUACCCUGGUAGUCCACACCGUAAACGAUGAUUACUAGGUGUUGGAGGAUUGACCCCUUCAGUGCCGCAGUUAACACAAUAAGUAAUCCACCUGGGGAGU